This 385-nucleotide ribosomal RNA is filed under the name uncultured Enterobacteriaceae bacterium. RNAcentral's name for it is "bacterial SSU rRNA". It matches the Rfam family "Bacterial small subunit ribosomal RNA", at positions 355 to 731 of the family's 1533-position model. Lineage: Bacteria; Pseudomonadati; Pseudomonadota; Gammaproteobacteria; Enterobacterales; Enterobacteriaceae. The record is from RNAcentral.
UGGGGAAUAUUGCACAAUGGGCGCAAGCCUGAUGCAGCCAUGCCGCGUGUACAGAAGCAGCUUCGGGUUGUAAAGUACUUUCAGCGGGGAGGAAGGUGUUGAGGUUAAUAACCUCAGCAAUUGACGUUACCCGCAGAAGAAGCACCGGCUAACUCCGUGCCAGCAGCCGCGGUAAUACGGAGGGUGCAAGCGUUAAUCGGAAUUACUGGGCGUAAAGCGCACGCAGGCGGUCUGUCAAGUCGGAUGUGAAAUCCCCGGGCUCAACCUGGGAACUGCAUUCGAAACUGGCAGGCUGGAGUCUUGUAGAGGGGGUAGGAAUUCCAGGUUGUAGCGGUGAAAUUGCGUAGAGAUCUGGAGGAAUACCGGUGGCGAAGGCGGCCCCCUG